GAUGAACGCUGGCGGCGUGCCUAAUACAUGCAAGUCGAGCGAACAGACGAGGAGCUUGCUCCUCUGACGUUAGCGGCGGACGGGUGAGUAACACGUGGAUAACCUACCUAUAAGACUGGGAUAACUUCGGGAAACCGGAGCUAAUACCGGAUAAUAUAUUGAACCGCAUGGUUCAAUAGUGAAAGACGGUUUUGCUGUCACUUAUAGAUGGAUCCGCGCCGCAUUAGCUAGUUGGUAAGGUAACGGCUUACCAAGGCAACGAUGCGUAGCCGACCUGAGAGGGGGAUCGCCCCCACUGGAACGGGGACCCGGCCCAAAUCCCUACGGGAGGCAGCGUGAGGGAAUCUUCCGCAAUGGGGGAAAGCCUGACGGAGCAACGCCGGUGGAGUGAUGAAGGUCUUCGGAUCGUAAACCUCUGUUAUUGGGGAAAAAAAAAUUUGUAAGUAACUAUGCACGUCUUGACGGUACCUAAGCAGAAAGCCCCGGCUAACUACGU
RNAcentral lists this ribosomal RNA (496 nucleotides) under uncultured bacterium. RNAcentral's name for it is "partial 16S ribosomal RNA". It matches the Rfam family "Bacterial small subunit ribosomal RNA", at positions 28 to 506 of the family's 1533-position model. The record is from RNAcentral.